UACGGGGGGGGCAAGCGUUGUUCGGAAUUACUGGGCGUAAAGGGCUCGUAGGCGGCCAACUAAGUCAGACGUGAAAUCCCUCGGCUUAACCGGGGAACUGCGUCUGAUACUGGAUGGCUUGAGGUUGGGAGAGGGAUGCGGAAUUCCAGGUGUAGCGGUGAAAUGCGUAGAUAUCAGGAAGAACACCAACGGCGAAGGCAGCUCGCUAGGACGGUACUGACGCUGAGACGCGAAAGCGUGGGGAGCGAACAGG
RNAcentral lists this ribosomal RNA (253 nucleotides) under uncultured bacterium. RNAcentral describes it as "partial 16S ribosomal RNA". It matches the Rfam family "Bacterial small subunit ribosomal RNA", at positions 524 to 776 of the family's 1533-position model. The record is from RNAcentral.